GACAGAGGGGGCAAACGUUGCUCGGAAUCACUGGGCGUAAAGGGCGUGUAGGCGGGAAGGUAAGUCAGAUGUGAAAUCCCCAGGCUCAACCUGGGAACUGCAUUUGAAACUCCCUUUCUUGAGUACCGGAGAGGAAAGUGGAAUUCCUGGUGUAGAGGUGAAAUUCGUAGAUAUCAGGAGGAACACCAGUGGCGAAGGCGGCUUUCUGGACGGUAACUGACGCUGAGACGCGAAAGCGUGGGGAGCAAACAGG
Molecule: ribosomal RNA, 253 nt
Filed under: uncultured bacterium
Lineage: Bacteria
Description: partial 16S ribosomal RNA
Rfam family: Bacterial small subunit ribosomal RNA
Source: RNAcentral